ACUCGGGCACGAUCCUUACGCACGCUGUGGCGUUGCGACGUGUAGUGAUGCACCCACGCACGGUGUGGAGAGAGGGAACCGACCCGUAGUUCAACCCUGAGGGA
RNAcentral lists this non-coding RNA (104 nucleotides) under Corynebacterium singulare. RNAcentral describes it as "L31-Corynebacteriaceae ribosomal protein leader". It matches the Rfam family "L31-Corynebacteriaceae ribosomal protein leader". Lineage: Bacteria; Bacillati; Actinomycetota; Actinomycetes; Mycobacteriales; Corynebacteriaceae. The record is from RNAcentral.